GACGAACCGUGCAAACGUUAUUCGGAAUCACUGGGCUUAAAGGGCGCGUAGGCGGGCUCCCAAGUCGGUGGUGAAAUCUUUCGGCCCAACCGGAAAAGUGCCGCCGAUACUGGGAGUCUCGAGGGAGGUAGGGGUCGAUGGAACUUCCGGUGGAGCGGUGAAAUGCGUAGAUAUCGGAAGGAACGCCGGUGGCGAAAGCGAUCGACUGGACCUCUUCUGACGCUGAGGCGCGAAAGCCAGGGGAGCAAACGGG
This 253-nucleotide ribosomal RNA is filed under the name uncultured bacterium. RNAcentral describes it as "partial 16S ribosomal RNA". It matches the Rfam family "Bacterial small subunit ribosomal RNA", at positions 524 to 776 of the family's 1533-position model. The record is from RNAcentral.